AAGUCUAUAGGCUGGAUGCAAGAUGGACACCUUCUCCAUGGCCUCCUCAUCCAUCAUCUUGAAAGAGCCAUCUUCAGACAUAUGUUAAGAUUUCCAACAUAAUACUACUGAAUAACAUUGGUGACAGUGGCAUCCUUGUUUCACACCUGAUCUACUGGGAAGGCUUCUAGCUCAUCACCACUGAUUGUUUUAGAUAAAAGCUUUUUUAUCAAUUUAAAGAAAAAACUAUUUUACACCUAUAGUUUCAAGUGUUUUUAAUAGAAAUGAAUGUUGCACUUUAUCGAAAACUUUUUCUACAUCUAUUGAUGUAAACAUAUGAAUUGUUAGACUUUUAUUAUUGAUACAAUCAAUUGUGUUCAUAGUUUUCCUUACGUUAAACCACCCCUGAAUUCCCACUUGGUCAUACAUAAUGUAAAAUCUUUGGAUUAUAUUGUAAUCUUUUAUUUAGUAUUUUAUUUAGUAUUUUUGCAUCCAUGUUCAUUAAUGAAAUUGGUCUAUAAUUUUCUUUUUCUGUCUUUGCUCUCCCUGGUUUAGAUGUCAAUAUCAUAUUUGUUCAUAAAAGAAGUUUGGUAA
Long non-coding RNA from Sarcophilus harrisii (Tasmanian devil), 573 nucleotides. RefSeq lists it as uncharacterized. Lineage: Eukaryota; Metazoa; Chordata; Mammalia; Dasyuromorphia; Dasyuridae. The record is from RefSeq and is a predicted model, not a curated record. The transcript has 2 exons.